This 492-nucleotide ribosomal RNA is filed under the name uncultured bacterium. RNAcentral describes it as "partial 16S ribosomal RNA". It matches the Rfam family "Bacterial small subunit ribosomal RNA", at positions 29 to 507 of the family's 1533-position model. The record is from RNAcentral.
AGUGAACGCUGGCGGUAGGCCUAACACAUGCAAGUCGAACGGCAGCACAGUAAGAGCUUGCUCUUACGGGUGGCGAGUGGCGGACGGGUGAGGAAUACAUCGGAAUCUACUUUUUCGUGGGGGAUAACGUAGGGAAACUUACGCUAAUACCGCAUACGACCUACGGGUGAAAGCAGGGGAUCUUCGGACCUUGCGCGAUUGAAUGAGCCGAUGUCGGAUUAGCUAGUUGGCGGGGUAAAGGCCCACCAAGGCGACGAUCCGUAGCUGGUCUGAGAGGAUGAUCAGCCACACUGGAACUGAGACACGGUCCAGACUCCUACAGGAGGCAGCAGUGGGGAAUAUUGGACAAUGGGCGCAAGCCUGAUCCAGCCAUACCGCGUGGGUGAAGAAGGCCUUCGGGUUGUAAAGCCCUUUUGUUGGGAAAGAAAAGCAGCGGGUUAAUACCCCGCUGUUCUGACGGUACCCAAAGAAUAAGCACCGGCUAACUUCGUG